GGUGAGGCUGGCCGCAUGGAGCUCGAGCUCUCCGUGACCAAGCUGAGGGCAGAGGAGGCCUCCCUGCAGGACUCCCUGUCCAAGCUGAGCGCCCUCAACGAGAGCCUUGCUCAGGACAAGUUGGAUCUGAACUGCCUUGUCACCCAGCUGGAGGAAGAAAAGGCCAUGCUGCAGGGCCGGCAGCGGCAGGCGGAGCAGGAGGCCACAGUGGCGCCGGCAGAGCAGGAGUGGCUGGAGGAGCUGUGGUUGGAGCAGGAGGUGGCACGGCAGGGCCUGGAGGGCUCCCUAUGAGUGGCGGAGCAGGCCCAGGAGGCGCUGGAGCAACAGCUCCCCACACUGCACCAUGAGCUCAGUUGGCUGCAGGAGCAGCUAGCACAGGAGGCAGCAUGGCGGGAGCUGGAGGCCGAGCGGGCCCAGCUGCAGAGUCAGCUGCAGCGUGAGCAGGAGGAGCUGCUGGCCCGGCGGAAGGCUGAGAAGGAACAGCUGAGUGAGGAGAUUGCUGCCCUGCAGCAGGAGCAUGACGAGGGCCUCCUCCUGGCCGAGAGCGAGAAGCAGCAGGCCUUGUCUCUGAAGGAGUCUGAGAAGAUGGCGCUGUCAGAGAAGUUGAUGGGUACACGGCACAGCCUGGCCACCAUCUCCCUGGAGAUGGAGCGGCAGAAACCAGAUGCCCAGAGCCGGCAGGAGCAGGACCGGGUAGGCCUGCCGUCGUAGGGAGGCUUGCGGAGCAGGAGCGCCCUCUCUCCACCGAGCUAUCCCGCGGUUUCCAGCAUCCCAUCUGGCGGACUCCUCUUCCUCUCUCUUCUCCUACUCUGGGUCUUCUAUCCUGGUGUUCCUUGAAUGCCUAUCUUCCUUUUGUGCCUCGGAACCUCUCACGCCUGCCACAAGUUACUCUUUUCCUUGGUAGUUCUGAACUUUAAAUAAGGUAAUGCCUGUAAGAAUGCCAUAAAUGCUCAAUAAUUGUCAUCUGUUAUUAUUUUCAUCAGUAACAUCAUCUGAAUCAUCAGUAUUGUCUGCUUUUAACAGCUGCAUUUUUCAUUGUCCAAAUAUAGUCACAUACAUUUGACCAUUUUAUAAUUAUUGAAUAAUAAAUUUGUUCUGCUAUUUUACAAUGAAAAAUAAUGCUGCAGAGAGCAUUUUUGCACAUGUAUCGUGGCAGAUGUAGGCCAGAGGCUCUUCUUUUAUCCAUCCUAUGGCCAACCUAUGAAUGUAUACACGUUUAAUGAGAUUUUGCCAGCAAUCAAAGCCUUCAGGGAAAAUGUCCCUAGCUCUUUACUACAUCAGAUCAAGGACUCUGGAUAAUUGGCAUAACAUCCUGGAAUAGCUGAAACAGAGAUAUUAUUCUCUGCUCUCCUCUGUUGUCUUUGUCUUUUCACGUCUUAAUAAAAGUGCUGGUGACAAGAGUGU
Molecule: long non-coding RNA, 1404 nt
Filed under: Homo sapiens (human)
Lineage: Eukaryota; Metazoa; Chordata; Mammalia; Primates; Hominidae
Description: long non-coding RNA NONHSAT151182.1
Source: RNAcentral